GGAGGGGGAGGGCGCGGAGCCCUGCCGGCGGCCGGAGGACCGGCGGGCGCUGACUGCGACCACCAAUCUCGGGCAGCGGACGCGCUGCUUUGGAAGAUGAGUGGAAAACUACAAUUAAAAAAACAUAGCCAUGAAAAUAAGUGAGAUUAAAACCUGCCGGCUUCACUUCCUGGAGGCUUUUUGUUGGGUCUUGAAACUAGGAGUCUUUGCGGGUCAUCCUUAAAUUCACCUUGACAGAUUCAACCAAUGAGAAACUGAGUCUGCGUACAUUCCCUAAAGACAGGCGCUAUGGAAUGUCCGGAUUCCCUCCAUUCUGCAUUUGCCCAAG
This is a long non-coding RNA of Lagenorhynchus albirostris (white-beaked dolphin), 328 nucleotides long. RefSeq lists it as uncharacterized. The transcript is spliced from 3 exons. The record is from RefSeq and is a predicted model, not a curated record. Lineage: Eukaryota; Metazoa; Chordata; Mammalia; Artiodactyla; Delphinidae.